CACCGGCGCCUGAUCACGCCGCGGUUUGAUGAAGGCUCGUCCCCCGCCGACAUCAAACAUGGACAAAGGCCUAAUCCCCCCUCUCCGGGCCUUUGUUCUGCUAUUGCAAGCCGUCAUGGCCCGCCCCCAGGCCAUGGCGGCCUUGC
This 146-nucleotide small RNA is filed under the name Rhizobium sp. RU36D. RNAcentral describes it as "Alphaproteobacterial sRNA ar7". It matches the Rfam family "Alphaproteobacterial sRNA ar7". The record is from Rfam by way of RNAcentral. Lineage: Bacteria; Pseudomonadati; Pseudomonadota; Alphaproteobacteria; Hyphomicrobiales; Rhizobiaceae.